Molecule: ribosomal RNA, 497 nt
Filed under: uncultured bacterium
Lineage: Bacteria
Description: partial 16S ribosomal RNA
Rfam family: Bacterial small subunit ribosomal RNA
Source: RNAcentral
GAUGAACGCUGGCGGCGUGCCUAAUACAUGCAAGUCGAGCGAACAGACGAGGAGCUUGCUCCUCUGACGUUAGCGGCGGACGGGUGAGUAACACGUGGAUAACCUACCUAUAAGACUGGGAUAACCUCGGGAAACCGGAGCUAAUACCGGAUAAUAUAUUGAACCGCAUGGUUCAAUAGUGAAAGACGGUUUUGCUGUCACUUAUAGAUGGAUCCGCGCCGCAUUAGCUAGUUGGUAAGGUAACGGCUUACCAAGGCAACGAUGCGUAGCCGACCUGAGAGGGUGAUCGGCCACACUGGAACUGAGACACGGUCCAGACUCCUACGGGAGGCAGCAGUAGGGAAUCUUCCGCAAUGGGCGAGAGCCUGACGGAGCAACGCCGCGUGAGUGAUGAAGGUCUUCGGAUCGUAAAACUCUGUUAUUAGGGAAGAACAAAUGUGUAAGUAACUAUGCACGUCUUGACGGUACCUAAUCAGAAAGCCACGGCUAACUACGUG